GCCCGGCUGGCUCAGUCGGUAGAGCAGGAGACUCUUGGUCUCAGGGUCGCGGGUUCGAGCCCCGCGCUGGGCG
Capra hircus (goat) is the source of this 73-nucleotide non-coding RNA. NCBI's taxonomy places the organism in Eukaryota, Metazoa, Chordata, Mammalia, Artiodactyla, Bovidae. The record is from the annotation of a RefSeq genome assembly.